GUCCCUGUAGCUCAGUUGGAUAGAGCUUUCGCCUCCUAAGCGAAGGGUCGGCAGUUCGAACCUGCCCAGGGACGCCA
RNAcentral lists this transfer RNA (77 nucleotides) under Candidatus Anaerobiospirillum merdipullorum. RNAcentral describes it as "tRNA-Arg". It matches the Rfam family "tRNA". Rfam says of the family: Transfer RNA (tRNA) molecules are approximately 80 nucleotides in length. Their secondary structure includes four short double-helical elements and three loops (D, anti-codon, and T loops). Further hydrogen bonds mediate the characteristic L-shaped molecular structure. tRNAs have two regions of fundamental functional importance: the anti-codon, which is responsible for specific mRNA codon recognition, and the 3' end, to which the tRNAs corresponding amino acid is attached (by aminoacyl-tRNA synthetases). tRNAs cope with the degeneracy of the genetic code in two manners: having more than one tRNA (with a specific anti-codon) for a particular amino acid; and 'wobble' base-pairing, i.e. permitting non-standard base-pairing at the 3rd anti-codon position. The record is from RNAcentral. Lineage: Bacteria; Pseudomonadati; Pseudomonadota; Gammaproteobacteria; Aeromonadales; Succinivibrionaceae.